RNAcentral lists this ribosomal RNA (500 nucleotides) under uncultured bacterium. Its description in RNAcentral is "partial 16S ribosomal RNA". It matches the Rfam family "Bacterial small subunit ribosomal RNA", at positions 30 to 523 of the family's 1533-position model. The record is from RNAcentral.
AUUGAACGCUGGCGCCAGGCUUAACACAUGCAAGUCGAGCGGGGGAAGGUAGCUUGCUACCGGACGUAGCGGCGGACGGGUGCGUAAUGCUUAGGAAUCUGCCUAUUAGUGGGGGACAACAUCUCGAAAGGGAUGCUAAUACCGCAUACGUCCUACGGGAGAAAGCAGGAGAUCUUCGGACCUUGCGCUAAUAGAUGAGCAUAAGGCGGAUUAGCUAGUUGGUGGGCUAAAGGCCUACCAAGGCGACGAUCUGUAGCGGGUCUGAGAGGAUGAUCCUCCACACUGGGACUGAGACACGGACCAGACGCCUACGGGAGGGAGCAGUGGGGAAUAUUGGACAAUGGGGGGAAACUGUUCCAGCCAUGCCGCGUGUUUGAAGAAGGCCUUAUGGUUGUAAAGCACUUUAAGCGAGGAGGAGGCUACUUUAGUUAAUAUCUAGAGAUAGUUGACGUUACUCGCAGAAUAAACACCGGCUAACUCUGUGCCAGCCGCCGCAGUAA